Molecule: transfer-messenger RNA, 356 nt
Filed under: Chloroflexota bacterium
Lineage: Bacteria; Bacillati; Chloroflexota
Description: Chloroflexi bacterium transfer-messenger RNA
Rfam family: transfer-messenger RNA
About the family: Bacterial tmRNA, also known as 10Sa RNA or SsrA, is named for its dual tRNA and mRNA-like properties. Its role is to liberate the mRNA from a stalled ribosome.
Source: RNAcentral
GGGGAUGCAGGGUUUCGACAGGGACUCGAGGCUUUCUCUGCAGGUCGAGGAUGCCGAAGCCUCGUAAAUCAUGCGGCAAAAACUGACUGGCGAACAGGAACUCGCUCUCGCCGCCUAAGCUUUAGGCGCGACGUCCGUUCCGGGUAGGCCCCGGCGUCUGGAAACGGGCGACAUUUAGCCGGGAGGACGCCGGCCCCGACGCCCGUUAGGGCCGGAAGAGAACUCUCCGGGCUGGCUGGCUGUACCGUUGUCCGUUUUAGUGACAGCCGGCGAGACAGAUAAAACGGUCUAAACCUGUAGACGGGAUCAGUCGGAAGUUCCUGGACGGGGCGUUCAACUCGCCCCCAUCUCCACCA